AUAGCGGAAUCCAAAUUUUCAAAUUUUGUUUUUCUAUCAAGCAAAGCCAUCGCUCGACCGAGACUCGCUUCCUCAGCUGCUUUUCCGGCUCUUCGAAUACUUUGCUUUGAUCAGAUGAAAAUUGCAGCCUGGGAAUUCAAAGUUUGAAACAAUGGCUCACAAUUUUCCUGAGGAAAUCAUACAUGAUAUUCUGUUUAGAUUACCUCCUAAAUCAUUGAUCAGAUGUACCUUUAACUGUCUUCACAAACUCCAUGCUUUUGUUAAUGGAGCCAUUCAUUGGAUUGCAUUCUGCAAUUUGGCACAUCGUGCUUAUGAAUGUUUCAUUUUGGUGUUUGACGUGGGCAGUGAUUCAUUUCAAAGGAUAAUGGUACCAAAAAAUUUCAGAAGCUCAAUGCCCGGCCAGUUGUCUGUUUCAGGUUAUGGGAAAUCUAUUGCUCUCUGCAGGCAUUAUUUCAUUGAUUUUCAUGAGCCUCAUGUUGAGAUAUGGGUGAUGAAAGAGUAUGGCAUGGAAGAGUCAUGGACCAAAUUGACAACUCUAAUUCCACCAGGUCCAGAAAGAUAUUCUUUGAAUCGGCCGUUAUGUUUUAGAAAGAGUGGUGAUGUAGUGUUGGUAGCGUUUGAUGGUUGUGAGGAUGAAGAGGAUCAUGAUAGGCAUGGAUUAGUUUGUCUAGACCUUGUGGGCAAACAAUUUACAAAUCUGGGAAUUGAUGGAUAUAAAUACCACUAUGCUAAAUCUUAUGUUGAGAGCCUCGUCUUACUCGACAACACCGAUGCAGUUUCCUACUGAAGAAAAGAAGAGGUAGAAAACGGGGCAAAUAACCUUCAAGACUCUCACGAUACCUUCUGUGUAGCUGCGUAGUGCUAGCCUUGCUGCUUCUGAUGUUAAAUUGUUCCAAAGUGUAUCAAGAUUUUCAAUAUUUGAUCAAAUAUAACCUUUCUUGUUUAACUAUCUGUAAUUUUGAGUUUCGACAUCGCUCCUACUCGGGAUUUUCUGCCCUGUGAUGAAUAUCCCAAAUGUAUUGCUUGUACUUUUGAGUUUCAGACAUCUAUUGUACCAGGGAUCUGCUGCUUUGUUCAUCCUAAAUGUAUUGCUUCUACUUUUGAGUUUCGAA
Malus domestica (apple) is the source of this 1112-nucleotide non-coding RNA. The record is from RefSeq and is a predicted model, not a curated record. Lineage: Eukaryota; Viridiplantae; Streptophyta; Magnoliopsida; Rosales; Rosaceae.